This 400-nucleotide ribosomal RNA is filed under the name phytoplankton environmental sample. RNAcentral's name for it is "partial small subunit ribosomal RNA". It matches the Rfam family "Eukaryotic small subunit ribosomal RNA", at positions 587 to 990 of the family's 1831-position model. The record is from RNAcentral.
AGCUCCAAUAGCGUAUAUUAACGUUGUUGCAGUUAAAAAGCUCGUAGUUGGAUUUCUGGCGGCCUGUGCCUUCAUUUCCGUCAAGGAUCUCGAGUGGCUCGGGCUCGCCAUCUUUGUGGAGAGCGGGUGUGGCAUUCAUUUGUCGUGCCCGGGAUCUGCAUCUUUUACUGUGAAAAAAUUAGAGUGUUUAAAGCAGGCAAUCGCUUGAAUACAUUAGCAUGGAAUAAUGAGAAAGGACCUUGAGUGCUAUUUUGUUGGUUUGUACACCGAGGUAAUGAUUAACAGGGACAGUUGGGGGUAUUCGUAUUUGAUUGUCAGAGGUGAAAUUCUUGGAUUUAUUAAAGACGAACGACUGCGAAAGCAUUUACCAAGGAUGUUUUCAUUAAUCAAGAACGAAAGU